AUAAAACAAAGGUCAAACCAAAAUCAACCAACAAGACUAGGUCAAAAAUAAAUCAAGAAUAAAUAGAAAAUUGUGAAAAAAAAAUCCAAGAAAAGGUCAGGUUGACCAUGGGAUAGUGGUCAACCUUCAUUCCAAAAAUCAAAAGCUAAAAAGAAUUUUAAGUCAUAGAAAAUAAAAUUAAGAAUUAAAUAUGUGCUAAAAUGGACCAUUUAGAAUUAAUAAUUGAAAUAAAAUAUUAACAUUAAAUAAAU
Molecule: long non-coding RNA, 251 nt
Filed under: Lathyrus oleraceus (garden pea)
Lineage: Eukaryota; Viridiplantae; Streptophyta; Magnoliopsida; Fabales; Fabaceae
Description: Pisum sativum (pea) long non-coding RNA (PSAT_LNC033628)
Source: RNAcentral